UAAAACCUACGGGGCGCAGCAGUGGGGAAUAUUGGGCAAUGGGCGAAAGCCUGACCCAGCAACGCCGCGUGAAGGAAGAAGGCUUUCGGGUUGUAAACUUCUUUUGACAGGGAAGAGCAGAAGACGGUACCUGUCGAAUAAGCCACGGCUAACUACGUGCCAGCAGCCGCGGUAAUACGUAGGUGGCAAGCGUUGUCCGGAUUUACUGGGUGUAAAGGGCGUGUAGCCGGGCUGACAAGUCAGAUGUGAAAUCCGGGGGCUCAACCCCCGAACUGCAUUUGAAACUGUUGUACUUGAGUAUCGGG
This 305-nucleotide ribosomal RNA is filed under the name uncultured bacterium. RNAcentral's name for it is "bacterial SSU rRNA". It matches the Rfam family "Bacterial small subunit ribosomal RNA", at positions 333 to 653 of the family's 1533-position model. The record is from RNAcentral.